AGGACGAGGUAGAGGGAGGUUGAGCAUGAGAAGAGUGAGAGGUAGGGGUAGAGCUGGUAGAGGAGUUCAUGGCCAAAGAAGACAACAACUUUCAAAUGAAAUUAGAGCAACCUUAGUUGAUCAUGUCAUCAACCAUGGGCUGACAAUGUGAGAGGCUGGACAGAGAGUGCAGCACAACUUGAGCUGUUUUACUGUCGCCUGUGUCAUCCGGACAUUUAGACUGGAGUACAGACACAACCAUGGUGGAGGAAGGGGCCACAUGUUCACCGGGGUACAGGAAGCUGCCAUUGUAAACUUGGUUUUGGAAAAUAAUGAAAUCAGAUUACGAGAAAUUCGAAGCCACAUCAUCCAAGACAACACCAUAUUCAACAACAUUCAACGAGUCAGUCUGUCCACAUUGGCUCGCAUUCUCAAGCUGAACCAAAUCAGAAUGAAACAACUUUAUAAGGUGCUGUUUGAGAGAAACUCUCAAAGAAACAAAGAGGUCAGACGAGCAUAUGUGGAUAGAGUACUGGAAAUGGAUCCAAUCCCACAUGAGUUCAUCUUUAUAGAUGAGGCUGGGUUCAACCUAGCAGAGACCAGGAGAAGGGGGAGAAAUGUCAUUGGCCACAGAGCCAUUAUAGAUGUUCCUGGCCGACGUGGUGGGAACAUCACAAUGUGCGCUGCCAUCUCCAAUACGCAUGGUGUCCUCCGUAGUCAUGCCAACCUUGGACCAUACAACACAGCCCAUAUUCUCACAUUUCUGGACAGACUCCACAACAUUCUCAUACCACCAGAGCGUAUGAAUGAUGCAGACCAUCAAAGAACCCGGUACGUUGUAGUAUGGGACAACGUGAGCUUUCAUCGUGCAGCCCCAGUCCUAAACUGGUUUGCUGACCACACAUAAUUUCUCAUGCAAUACCUCCCACCAUACUCACCAUUUCUGAACCCCAGAGAAGAGUUAUUUUCGGCAUGGCGGUGGAAGGUAUACGACCGGCAGCCCUUUGUGCGCAGGCCUCUUGUGCAGGCUAUGGAAGAGGCAUGUGAUGAGAUUGAUGUGGGCGUGAUUCAGGGAUGGAUAAGGCACUCAAGGCACUUUUUCCCUCGAUGUCUGGCAAGGAGAAGAUAUUGCCUGUGAUGUGGACGAGGCGUUGUGGCCAGACCCAGCUCUGCAGCAAGAUACUGCCUGUGAUGUGGACGAGGCGUUGUGGCCAGACCCAGCUCUGCAGCAAGAUGCUGCCUGUGAUGUGGACGAGGCGUUGUGGCCAGACCCAGCUCUGCAGCAAGAUGCUGCCUGUGAUGUGGACGAGGCGUUGUGGCCAGACCCAGCUCUGCAGCAAGAUGCUGCCUGUGAUGUGGACGAGGCGUUGUGGCCAGACCCAGCUCUGCAGCAAGAUGCUGCCUGUGAUGUGGAUGAGGCGUUGUGGCCAGACCCAGCUCUGCAGCAAGAUGCUGCCUAAUUAUUUUUCUUGCCUCUUUUUUUCUAUAUAUUUUUUCUGCAAUUUUCUUUUUCAGUUUACUGUUUUUUUGUGAGCAUAUUUUUGUUCAGUCCAAUGUAAAUAAAUCUGCUGUGCAUAUGUUGCACUGACUUGUUUGGUGAAAAAUAAAUA
Molecule: long non-coding RNA, 1589 nt
Organism: Oncorhynchus gorbuscha (pink salmon)
Lineage: Eukaryota; Metazoa; Chordata; Actinopteri; Salmoniformes; Salmonidae
Exons: 3
Source: RefSeq, a predicted model, not a curated record